Long non-coding RNA from Tympanuchus pallidicinctus (lesser prairie-chicken), 3404 nucleotides. RefSeq lists it as uncharacterized. The record is from RefSeq and is a predicted model, not a curated record. NCBI's taxonomy places the organism in Eukaryota, Metazoa, Chordata, Aves, Galliformes, Phasianidae. The transcript has 5 exons.
CCACCUGAUGCUUUGCCUUUUGUCAUGUUGAUUCCAAGCACUCACUGUUCCUUCAGAAGGCCUCACCUUUUGGACAUGCCAUUACCAAAUGUUUCUGUGCUAGUGUUUUGUUCAUCUAUUACAUUGAGCUGUAGUUUUGAGAUAUUGCUUCUGGGGUCUUAAAAAAUGGCUGGCUUGAGAAGCCUAUGGGCUCUCCUUGCAGGAUGCUGCUUCUGCACCAUGCAGACAACCUCUUGGUUUUUUCCAAGCUCAGUGACAGUUUUCUGUACAGCCAUGAACAGAUAUCACAACCAGUCUUAAUUUCCCAACCUCAAGAGGUAGAGGUUGGGUUUGUUCCACUGUGUGCUCUUUUUGUUUUAAACCAUUUCUGUGGAGGGAUUUUUUUUUCCUUCCUACAUGUGGUAAAUUGAAGCUGACACCGGAGCGGUGUACAACAUUAGAUUUCAACAGGACCCCUAAGAGUCCUUCCAAGAGUGUUUCUUUUAACAAGGUUGCAUGUGGAGACACGUGCCAACCUCAUGGGGGGGGUAUCAGGUACCUAUGAGGCAGCAUGGGACAGUUAUAUUUCUCUUAAGUGAGUGCUGAUUCUCUCUAGGUCCCGACCAUCUGCUGAGAGAGAAGGUCCAUACAGCCACACACAACUCCCCAGACCUCAUGGGACUCUGCACCAGUGGGAUUCUGCAGACGUAUAUUUGCAGUAUCACAGUCAGCAACAGCACAAGCUUGGUUAGAACUUGUAACUGGCUGGGGACUUGAGUCUGUCUGUCUUCAUAUCACCAGAGUCCAAAACCACUCUACUUCCUAUGCCCAAAAGAAAAGUAACAUCUGUUGUGACAGAUUUAUGCAUAUGCUCACCCUUGCUUCAGAGUAAAGAUCUGCAGUGACACUGACUUGCAAAAUGCAAUGAAGACACAGGUAGGUAGGCAAAGGAGUGUGACAUGGGACACUGACACCAUGCAGGUAUGUACCUUACAAAACCACCAAUUCCAAUUUUUUGCUAUUGGAGUGUUUCAGUGCACAUCCUCCAUCUGAGCAAAGGCUGCGAGCCAGGGCUGAGCACUGUGCGUGCCCUGAACUGAAGGAGCAGUGAAAGGUACUGUCAAUAAAGCACUAUUUAGUGCUUAUCUCAGCAAGCUUCUACCAGGUGCUAAUGCACCUGCUCCUUAGCACCCCUGGGAAUGCUGUGACAGCUGCUGGUGGGAGCAGUGUAUGAUGGGCAGUGCCAGAGGGCGUGCAAUUCAGGGUCCCAAACCCCAUGGAGUAUGCUGAAUGGGAAAAGUUUUGAAGUAGGUUACUUCCUAGGUGGUUCAAACUUGUAAUUCUUCCAAGUUGCAUUUAUCUUUUACUAAUGUUCUCAGACUGCCUCUGUUCUGCUUGUGUGACUGACAGAAGGGCAGGUGUCUGUGCAGAACCAGUUUUGCUGUAAACCUUCUUAUACACAGAUUCCAACUACUGAUUGUCACAGGCAAAUCUAAUUUUAAAAUGCCAAACUUGAUACUUGAAGGAACACGUUCUACAGUGGUAAGUUUCUAUCGUACUGUGAACUUCCUACUUUCUUAGAUAUCUAAGAGCCUGGAACACAAUAGGUGCACAGGAGGAAAGGAUGUAAGACGUAAUGAAGAAGAAAAUCCAAUGAUUUGGUAGAGAUCGACCCUCUCCUGUGAUCAUAGUAACCCUUCACAAAUCUCUUUAAUUCUAGUUAAAAAGCAAACGAACAAAAUAUCCAAACAAAUACACAAAACCUUUAAAAAUUUGGAAAAUUAUUUUUUUCUAAUUAAAUUUAAAUGUAAAAAUUUGUCUGUUUUAGGUAGAGCACAGAAUCUGUCUUGUCACAGAUAAGAAGCCUUUUCCACAAAGAAGUCUUUCACAGAACUGGAGAUGGACCUAAAGCAAACUGGAUCUCAAAUGACCUGACACCUAUCUGCCUAACAACAGGCAACUGUAAGUAAGUGUCAUUACUGUUCUUUGAUCAGGUUAAAAUGGAUCAAUGACUACAGCUGGUAGGUCCUGCGUUGCUAUCAAGAUUUAUUUUUCAGGUGUUUCACUGUAGCUCUGCAUUCAAUGGAACCGUGGUAUUCCCUCACUAAAUGCCAUCUCUGUUUUCCUAGAGCCAAAAGGGGUGAGAAUGGAGAGGUGAAAGGCAGCAUUCUGACUCUGAAAGAGUUCCCCAGAAUCCUGAUGUGGAGUACAGUGAGCGUUGCUUGUCUGAAAUCAGAGCAGCUUUUCAUGUCAGAAAGCCAGACAGAUUUAGAUUUUCAGCAUCUGAGACUGAAAUACAUACAAAGUUCAAUUCCAGUGUCUUGGUGAUCUUGCUGAUCACCAAAUGCUGAUAUAUAGGCAGAUUCACCACCUCAGUACAAAUUCUAUUUCUGUUAUUAUUUGUGCUAAAUAGUAUUAUUAAGGGACAGAAUCAAAAUUUGGACUGAGUUGCAGCAGUGUGAUCCAUUGGCAGUGCUGUGCCAACAGCAGAGGAAUGGGCAACUCUGUCAUCUCACACAAACGAUGAACAGAUCCGAUAAGCCCCUGUUUUAGUAUGCUUUGGCAAUGUUACAUAAUCCCUGGAGAUAUUCAAGGAAAGGCUUGAUGGGUUCCUGGGCAGCCUAAUCAGUGGUUGGCAACCCUGCCCCCAGCAGGAGAGUUGGAACCAGAUCAUCUUUUGAGGUCCCUUCCAACCCAAGCCAUUCUAGGAUUCUAUGAUAUUGUGAAAGCUGGUUGUAUUAAUAUGAGCUUACUUAUAUCUCUUGGCUGUUUUUUUUUUUUUUUUCUUUUCUUUUUUUAAUCGUUUUUAAAACAGAUCAUUGCAAGCUCUUGCUAAAAUCAUGACUCGUAUUUUACAUUUAUCUAUGCUCGCUCUUCAGGAAAAUGAUUAUCCUCAGGGAAUGCUAAUCAAAAUGUCUCUGUAAGUAGUGCCAAAAUGAGGUCUUCAGUUUUCUUUUGAGUGUGUGGUGAGGGGCCAUUAUUUUCACACAUUUUGUUUAAAUAUUUUUUAUAACGCUUUUCUUAAUAUAAGGAAUUUUUUUUUCCUAUCUCCAUUGUUUUACUUGCUUUACUGUAAAUACACUCUGCAUAUAGGUUACACACACACACACAUAUAUCUCCUUGGAAUUUAACUCCUAAUUUCUUUUUAUCUCAUGCAACCAAGCCUCAGCUGGAAUUCUGCUGAAGAAGAAAAUCUGCAGUGCCUUUGUCUUGUUAUCAAGCUUGUGAUAAUGACAGACUUGGAAAGUUCUGUGCUGCUGCCUUCUCAGACUUUCCUUUGACGUCACUUUAGGGAUAGAGAUUAGGUGAGUUACUGUUCAAGGGUGGGUUCAAUAAGUGACUACUAUCUGUUGGCCUGCACAGGGAUGGACAGUUGUGAUUGGACACAGACUGUAACUGAAGGUGUAAGGCGCUUUUUACAAGGA